This is a long non-coding RNA of Ostrea edulis (European flat oyster), 1057 nucleotides long. RefSeq lists it as uncharacterized. NCBI's taxonomy places the organism in Eukaryota, Metazoa, Mollusca, Bivalvia, Ostreida, Ostreidae. The record is from RefSeq and is a predicted model, not a curated record. The transcript is spliced from 3 exons.
CUGAUUUUGUUGCAAAACGUCGAGGAGAAGGGUUUAAAAAAUCAUUGUGCACAGAUUCGAGACCGUGGGUACGUGGGUUGGGGUUCUACACCAUGUGGUGGAUGAGCAUGAUUGGUCGCGAAAUCCGCCAAAUUCGAAUCCCACUAAAGGAAGUACACAUACGAGAUAAGACGACAUAUGUAACAAAUUGAUGCAUCAACUCCUGCAAGGAAAUUUGUUGGGUUUUGUGAAAUAAAAGCGUAAUAUUUCCUCAAGAUUAAUGGAUGUUUUGAGACGACUAACACAUGUAUUCAUUAUACAGAGGUAGUAAACAGUUGUUACUAUUGCAUACCAGUCUGAGUCAGCACGGACAGAGUUAAAGGUUGCACAUGUUCAGUGAAAAGUACAUCAAGGAGAAUACAUUUGGCAGAAAUUUCUUUUUUUUUUUUAAUAAUAUCAUAUAAAACAUUCAGAACAACUGGAUCCCGCAUGUACAUGUGUAUUACACUUGUAAGCUGUCUUGGUUACUGGGAGUACAAGACCAACAGUCUGGCAAAUGAUUUAUAACCAGACUGUUAACAGGUUCUGUCCCUUGGUACACCCUGGAAUCAAGUCAACAAAUCAUGCUUUCUUUGACUUUUUAAAUUGUUUUUGUAUUCAUAUAACACAAUUAUUUUCAUUUAUAUAAUUAUUCAAACAUUCAUGCUUUAGACAUAAAACAUUUAGAACAACUGGAUCCUGCUUGUACAAGUGUAUUAUACUUGCAUAUUGUAUUUACUAAACUCUUAUACUGAUAUUGAUUACAACUUCACAUGUAUUCACACAACAUUAUCAUUAUCCACUGUCUCUGAAACUGGCACUGUCCUUAGAUGUGUGAAGCAGUUUGGUUAUUCUAUUGUAUAUUUCAUUAUGUUAGUUUAAAUUCAGUCUGAAAUCAGUAUUUCAUAUAUAAUCAGAUGUGUGCAGAGUAGUAGUAGAUCUGAAUGAUUGUUAUUUAUUUAUAUUGUUAUAAUUAAUUACUAGUUAAACUGUACGUGCCCUUGAUUGGUGAAUAAACUCAUUAUUAUUAUUAUAAAGU